Calidris pugnax (ruff) is the source of this 6904-nucleotide RNA transcript. It is a transcript of the gene named RAD50 homolog, double strand break repair protein, with no coding region annotated. The transcript has 29 exons. The record is from RefSeq and is a predicted model, not a curated record. NCBI's taxonomy places the organism in Eukaryota, Metazoa, Chordata, Aves, Charadriiformes, Scolopacidae.
CGGUACCGGGCGGGGCCCGCCAUUGCCGGGGGCGUGGCAGCAGCCGCGGUGGCUGCCGGGUUGCGCGGGACGGUCAGCGGCGAGCGGAGGGUUUAUCACGUUCGUGCUUCUGACUUUGGAAGAGAAGUUCUGCAGAAAUGUCAAAGAUUGAGAAAAUGAGUAUCCUCGGAGUGAGGAGUUUUGGGAUAGAGGAUAAAGACAAGCAAAUUAUCACUUUUUUUAGUCCAUUAACUAUUUUGGUGGGACCAAAUGGUGCAGGAAAAACGACUAUCAUUGAAUGUCUUAAAUACAUAUCCACUGGAGAUUUUCCUCCUGGAACCAAAGGAAACUCGUUUGUUCACGAUCCAAAGGUUGCCAAUGAAACAGAUGUUAGAGCUCAGAUUCGAUUGCAGUUCCGGGAUGUAAACGGAGAGCUCGUAGCCGUCCAGCGGUCCAUGGUCUGCACCCAGAAAGGCAAGAAAACAGAAUUUAAAACACUCGAAGGUGUCAUUACUAGAACAAAGCAUGGCGAGAAGGUCAGCCUGAGUUCCAAGUGCGCAGAAAUCGAUCGAGAGAUGAUCAGCGCCCUUGGUGUUUCCAAAUCCGUGAUUAACAACGUCAUUUUCUGCCACCAAGAAGAAUCCAACUGGCCGUUAAGUGAAGGGAAAGCCCUGAAACAGAAAUUUGAUGAGAUCUUUUCAGCAACAAGGUAUAUUAAAGCACUCGAAACUCUCCGUCAGGUACGACUGAAACAAAGCUCGAAGGUGAAAGAGUGUCAGGCAGAAUUGAAAUAUCUAAAACAGAAUAAAGAAAAAGCACAGGAAAUCCAGGAUCAUCUCAGCAAUAGAGAGGCUCAACUGGCUGCUUCUAAGGACAAUGUAAAAUCCAUCGAGAAUCAACUUGAUCCUCUAAAGACUUCUCUGGCGGCAGUAGAGCAGAAUCUCAUGAAAGUCAUGAGGCUGGACAACGAUGUAAAAGCCCUGGAGAGCAGGAAGAAGCAGAUGGAGAAAGACAAUCAAGAUUUGCAACAGAAGAUGGAAAAGGUUUUUCAAGGACCAGAUGAACAACUAAUAGAUAGAUACCAGAACCACCAGAAAACAGUGAAGGAGAAGGAGAAGAGAUUGUUGGACUGUAAGCGUGACUUUGAUAGAGCCACUAAAGAAUGCCAGAGAUUUAACAGUGAGAAAUCAGAACUACUUAUUGAACGAGGUCGUCUUCAAAUGCAAGCGGAUCGUCACCAGGAGCACAUCUCAAUGAGGGACUCGUUAAUUCAGUCUUUGGCAGCACAGCUGGAAUUAGAGGGUUUUGGACGAGCACCUUUUGAUGAAAGGCACAUCAGCAGUUUUCACACAUUGUUGAAGGAGAGACAGAAAAGAGACGCAGAAACUGCAAAUAAUUUAAUGAGAGAAUUUGCACGAAAAGAAGCAAUGAAACAAAAACAGAUAGAUGAAAUAAGAGACAAGAAAACUGGAUUAGAAAGAACCAUUGACCUAAAAUCAGACAUUCAGAAUAAGAAACAAGUGGAGCUGAAGAAUGUAAAACAUGAACUGCAGCAGCUGGAGGGGUUUUCAGACCGAAUUCUGGAGCUGGAGCAAGAGAUUGUCAAGACAGAGCACGAGCUGGAGAAGGCUGAGAGGAACAGCAACAUAGAAACACUGGAACUGGAAGUACAAACUCUGCAAAAUGAGAAGAUAAACCUGGACAGAGCUCUUCGGAAGCUGGAUCAAGAGAUGGAACAGUUGAAUCUACACACCAUGACAAUUACCCAGAUGGAAAUGCUGAAGAAAGACAAAGCAGAGAAAGAAGAGCAGAUUAGAAGAGUGAAAUCGAGACAUUCUGAGGAACUGACAUCGCUGCUGGGAUACUUUCCAAAUAAAAACCAACUUGAAGACUGGCUUUAUAAUAAAAGUAGAAAGAUUAAUCAGACAAGGAGUAAUCUUGCUGUCCUUAACAAACGACUGGCAUCAGUAGAGUGUGAUAGAACUCACUUCAGUAAUGAGCUAAAAAAAAAAGAAGCAGAGUUGUCCCUUCAAGAGGCAAAGAUUCUUGAUGUUUGUGGAAGCCAAGAUUUUGACAGUGAUCUGAACAAACUGCAAGAUGAAAUUGAAAAAAGUUCAAAACAGCGAGCUGUGCUUGCUGGAGCCACUGCGGUGUACUCCCAGUUCAUUACGCAACUGACGGAGGAGAACCAGUCGUGUUGUCCAGUUUGUCAAAGGGUUUUUCAAACAGAGGCUGAACUGCAAGAGGUGAUCAGUGACCUGCAGUCCAAGCUGCGUCUUGCUCCAGACAAACUGAAGUCUACAGAGACCGAGCUUAAGAGAAAAGAGAAAAGACGUGAUGAAAUGAUGAGUCUUAAACCCCUCAGGCGAACUGUAGUUGAUCUCCAAGAAAAAGACAUCCCAGACUUGAGAAACAGGAUACAGAACGCGAACAGGGAUUUAACAAGCCUGAAGGCUGAGAUAGAGGAACAGGAGUCGCUCUUGCAGACAGCUCUGUCUGAGGAGGACGGUGCCAAGGCGUGUUUACAGGAUGUAACGCUGAUGGAAAGGCACCAGACUGACAUUAGGGAUGUUGAACGAAAAAUUGCUCAGCAGGAGGCUAAGCUGCUAGGGGUGGAUUUAAGUAGAACUGUUCUACAAGUAAGCCAUGAAAAACAAGAGAAGAAACACUUGUGGGAUACAGUUACUGGUAAAAUUGAGUUAAAUCAAAAACUCAAGCAAGACCAGCAAAAUCAGAUUCAGCAGCUGAAGAGUACCAUGAAUGAGCUUAAAGGGGAGAAACUCCAGCUGGCCAGCGGCAUGCAGCGUCGGCGCCAGCUGGAGGAACAGACAGUGGAAUUAACCACCGAGGUUCAGUCCUUGUGCAGGGAGAUCAAGGAAGCAAAAGAACAAGUGUUUCCUUUGGAUACAACUUUAGACAAACUGCAGCAGGAGAAGGAGGAUCUAGUCAAUAAAAGGACUGCAAGUAAUAAAGAAAUGCAAGAGAAGAUAAAUAGCAUAGAAGAGAAAGUUAAGGAUAUAAACAAGUACAUGAAAGAAAUCGAAAACUAUAUUCAGCAAGGAAAAGCCGAGUAUAAAAAGCAAAAGGAGGCUGAACUUGAUGAAGUAAAUUGUCAGCUAGCUGCCUGUGAGAAACAGAAGGACAAGAUAAGUAAAGAGAUGGAAGUGAUUCGACAAGAUAUUGACACUCAAAAGGUACAGGAGAGGUGGUUAGAGGAUAAUCUUACUUUGAGGCGACGGAAUGAAGACCUAAAAGAAGUUGAAGACAAUAUAAAAAGACUUUUGAAGGAGAUGGGAGAAAUGAAAGUCCCGCAGUUGAAAACUGAGCAGAAACAUUUGGAGGAGAAAAUAGAAUCCCUGAAAAGAAACCAUCAUGUGGCACUUGGCCGACAGCGUGGGUUUGAGGAAGAGAUUGUUCGCUUUAAAAAGGAACUUCGAGAGCCACAGUUCAAAGAUGCGGAGGAAAAAUACAGGGAGAUGAUGAUUAUCAUGAGGACAACAGAGCUGGCAAACAAAGAUCUGGAUCUUUAUUACAAGGCUCUUGAUAAAGCAAUAAUGACGUUUCAUAGCAUGAAGAUGGAAGAAAUCAACAAAAUAAUUCGUGACCUUUGGCGAAGUACCUACAGGGGACAAGAUAUUGAAUAUAUAGAAAUUCGUUCUGAUGCAGAUGAGAAUGUCUCAGCCUCUGAUAAAAGAAGAAGUUACAAUUACAGAGUGGUGAUGAUAAAGGGAGAUACGGCACUGGAUAUGCGAGGGAGGUGUAGUGCUGGGCAAAAGGUGCUUGCUUCUCUCAUUAUUCGUCUUGCUCUGGCAGAAACGUUCUGUCUCAACUGUGGCAUAUUGGCGCUGGAUGAGCCCACAACCAACCUUGAUCGAGAAAACAUAGAGUCUCUUGCACAUGCCCUGGUGGAGAUUAUAAAGAGCCGCUCACAACAGCGUAACUUCCAGCUUCUGGUGAUAACUCAUGAUGAAGAUUUUGUUGAACUUCUGGGCCGUUCUGAAUAUGUGGAAACGUUCUACAGGAUAAAGAAGAACAUCGACCAGUGCUCUGAGAUCAUCAAAUGCAGUGUCAGCUCCCUGGGCUCAUAUGUUCAUUAAAAUACCUAGUAAUUACGUGUUAUAGACUGCCUUGGCUGCCAAACUUCAAAUGAAGGCAUCUGAAAAUCUAGUUCCUUCAUAUCAUAUACUACUGAAGUGUCACUUACCUCUCCUGCUUUAUGAUGGUGACAAUUACGAGAGUUAUGUCAUAUUCGGAUUCUCCAUGAGGUGCAGUCAAGUUCUGUGAAAAAGAUACAAAAAUGCCUGAAAGAGUUAAUUGGUGUGGAUGCUGAGCUUCGUCUGCACCACCCAGAGUUCUUCCAGAAGCUCUUCUGCUUGACACAGCAGCACCUGACAGUCCUGCAGAGCACAGGCCAAGGGCAACCCACCACUGAGAAUGACAACGGAAAGCCAUCAGGGAUGUCACUCCUCAAAGGACAACUCCUGUUGCUCCUCACAAGUCCUGAGAUGUCAGACAAGGGUUCCUCAGCACCAAGCCUUGCCUCCUCUGGAGCCACGCGAGCCCUUUGGGGUGUGAUUUCUGGGUCUCUGUUUCUUCAUAACCAGGUGACGGCGGUGCAGAAACGGGGUCUCUGCUUGCCAUGUUGGUGGGAGCUGUGGUGGAUCUCCAGCAGAGAAACCCCAGUGGAGGAAAGCAGCUCCUCAACAGCCAUCUGUCACCUAGCCAUGUGUGCACACUGCUUCAUGAGGAAGGCACAGCCACGGGCAGAUACUCGCUCAGCUUCUCCACCAUCUUCUGAAAGAAAGGGAACAGCACACAUGUGAAAACGGCCUGGAAAAAAAUGGUGUGGCUUCUGGAUGAGGAUUUAACAGAAGGCAAACUGGAGUAGUUAUGGAAAUGGGAAAAUGUUUAUAGGGUGGUCUGAAAUGAGGCCCUCAAAAAUGAUAGAAGAGACCUGCAGAUGUUUAUAUCACCAUAUGCUCGACCUCAUGAGUUCUGACAUUGUUUCUUGAUUACAUGUUCCCAUCCUGUCCCUCUACAAAACCUGUGACUGAGUGCAGCUGGGGCUGCCCUUGGGGGGGACGUGGAGGUGGAAGGUGACACGGCCACCUCCCCUCACCCCAAGAGCCAGGAAGAGGCAUGAGGAGCACGGCAGGGAUCUGCUGGAGGAGGGAACCAUCCAGGAAUCACACGGGAGAAUCACAGAAUCAUAGGAUUGUCUCAGUUGGAAGGGACCUUUCAGAUCAUGGAGUCCAACCAUCAACCCAACACUGACCAAACCACCCAUCGUCUGCCUGGAUUUUAAAUACCUCCAGGGUGCUGGGGGGCUCUCCCCACCCUGAGCUGGGGACGACAAAGGCAACUGGGAGGAAACCUUCUGCUCCUCCUGCUGGGACAGCCCGGUGCUGGGACAAAGCUGCCACCCAUUUCACUGGAAACACACAAAUUCAGCCCAUCUAAAAUUAUGACCUGCUGUUCCCCCAUCUCCUGCAGAGCCAGGAAAGAGAAGGGGACGCUGCCACAGGAACCUGUAGCCCCUGUAAAGCUGACUCAGCCACUGGCCAUUGGUUUCUGUCCAUUGAUUCCAUCUGUACCCAUCAACAUCAUCCCAUGUUGGUGGUGGCCAUGGCCCCAAGCCCACCCCGCUGCUCUUCGUUGGUGUGUGAUCAUUGUGGGCAACCACCUUUGGCUUCACUGCUGGAAAAAAGAAAAGGAAAACCCCAUGGUUUUGGACACAGAGGGUGUCUUCAACUGGUUCUUCUGUUUCCUGGUGUCAUCACCCAGAGGUGCAGCCAUGGAAAGGUCUGACGGGUGCCAGCCCAGGGUGUGCCUUCACCCCCUGCCACCCACCCUCGGCCUCCUCAGCAUGGAGGCAAGAGGAGCCUGAUGAGGAAAACUGCAAUACCUGAAUUAAUCACUCAGAUCAUUUUUCUGAACUGGCUGGGGACUGAUUUGGGGUGGCUUCAAUCAGGCAUGAAGAGCUGAGGGGGUGAGUGUGGGGUGGGCACAGCCCCCCAGCAGCUGCUGGACCCCCCGGAACCCUUCUGCCUUCUGCCUCUGGCCACAGCUGGAAGCAAAACUGGCUCUUCCAUGAGGAGGGGACCCCGUUUGGGCUGGGUUCACUCACUUGGGGUCCUGCCCCUCGCCCUGGCUGGUGGCAGCAGCCUGGGGGACAUGGUGUCCCCCCUCCACGCACCCCUGUCCCCUGGGGAAGGGCAGCUUGGCCGGCAGCUGGGGGUGAUGCACAGCCAGAAGUGUCACCUGCUAUUUCAUGGCCACCACUGGGGUUAGCACUGGGAGCAGCUGGAGACACCAAAGGAGCUCUUUUGGUUGCCCCUCAGGGCUCCCCAAGGGCCACCAUCCCCUCUCUCCCCCCGAGCCCCCGUCUCAGCCCCGUUUCUCAGAACUGGGCUCGUCGUUCCAGCGCACGUCCUUCCACCCACACCACCCCAAUUGACACAUGUCAGCUUUUCCCAUCAGCAGCUUCGCUUCAGCAUUAUCAAUAGUUUGGGGGAAUGAUUUUUAUCUGCCUUUGGGGGAGGUGACACACGCUCUCCCCGCAGGGUUUGCCGAUGCGGGGUGUUCCCAGCCAAGGGGGUCCCACCACCCACAGCCCCCCCAUGGCCUCGUGUUCCCCCCGGGACCACCGUGCCAGGGCAUGGGAUCAGAGAAGCCUUCCCUGGGGCCAUGGUGCAUCCCACACCAGCAUCCUGCUCUGUCUGCUCGUCUCAAGGAACCCAAAGACUCCAGCUUUGGGACACACGGACACUGCCCCGGACACACACCCGCUCCUGCCCCUUCCUCCCAGUGCCUCCACUGGGAAAAUUCCAGGCUCCCGUCUGGCUCUGACCCAGCCUUUCCAUUUUGCAGAACAUUAAGUGAUGGGGAAUCAUCACCAUCUUUUUUUCUUUUUUUCCAGGAAAAC